Non-coding RNA from Chrysemys picta bellii (western painted turtle), 2340 nucleotides. Lineage: Eukaryota; Metazoa; Chordata; Testudines; Emydidae. The record is from RefSeq and is a predicted model, not a curated record.
CGCCGCGUGCAGGCGGCAGUAGCAGCCGGGCUGGCGAGCGGGCUGCGCCCCAAGCCGCGGCGGAGGCGCCGGCAGGGACUGGGCCAUGUGAUGCAGGGAGGGGGAGGGGGAGGGCAGCGAGAGGAAGAGGAGGUGGGGGAGGAGCAGGCGGGUAGGUGCUGCUCGCUAUAGAGUCGCUGGGGCUCCGCCGCCGCUGCCGGGGAGCGGAGCCGGGCAGCAGCCGCGGGAGAACGUGCCAGCGAGCCGGGCUAGGGGCAGAGCCGCCGCCGUCCCUCCCUCCCUAGGAAUCCCAAGCGGCCGGAGGGUGGAGCCGCGGCCCCCGGAGCGAGCUGCUCCCCCGGCUGUGUGGCGCGGGGAGGAGGAAAGGCAGCGGCGGCAGCAGGGAGCCCGCGCUGCAAGGAGCCGCCGCCGCUUCAUCCUGCGGCACCGGGAGGCAAAGAGGAGCCCGGGCGUGCGCAGGUGGCAGUGUAGAAGCCAAGAACAAAAACUGACAGAAGUUACUAUUCUCUAUAAGAAAAUGAAGAGAGUGAACACAUGACUAAUCACAGGAACCUGAAAAACCACAGGAAUGAAAUGCUGAUAGCUCCUUACUUUGGAGAGUGACUGAAAGAAAACAGAUCAUUCAUACAGUAUACAACAAAGGCAUUUUAUAAUCUGAUUUGUCUACCUGUGAUGAAGAAUUUUAGUUAAUGGAAGCUGCAGCAGUCUGUCACCAGGAAAUAUACUGCUUUAUUCAGAAUGGGUCCCAGGAGGUGUUGCGGAAGGGCAAAGGAGGCUGGACAUCUCCUCUACACUCUCACAACUCCUGCAGUUCCUAGGGCUAGGCAACUUUUCCAACUCGCCUCCAUGUGCAAUGACUUCCAAGGGGUAGCUGUGGCAGCUGGGGACUGCUGGAGCACACUGCACUCUGACCAUGCCUUCCUCCCCUUACAAAUCUACUGCGGUAUGGUACGGAGCCAGCAAUGCCAGUUCUACACCCCCUGGAAUUCUCCUACACCAGAGCUUGAAGGCUCUUUUGUGCUGCUAGAAAAACCUAAAGCAGCCUUAUCAGGGCUGAGCAGCCACCCCCUUGUCUUCGUCCUCACCUGCAAAGCAUCUAGCCUGCUAUGAAUUCAACCCUGUAAGGUUCUGAGCAAAUGAAAUCAAUUUUAUUAUUACUGACACAUGCGUACACACACACACACACUCUGGUUAUUGUGUCAUUGACUUCUAUAGGGCCAGGAGCUCAUGCCUAGAAUACUCCCAAGUUCUGUUAAAUACUGAUUAUUAAAUAAUCUGUGCACCUGGAGCUUUUGCCUGCCCUGGCUAUGAAGGAGUUAAAGAUUUGUAUACAACAAAAUGAAAAGGGCUGUUUAAAAUUCUCCUUCCAGUGCAAGUCAUCACUCCCCAUAUGGUAAGAUAUUUAUCUCAAAUACAUGUUGUUCCGUAAAUCAGAGGAUUUUUUUUUUAAAGUUCUAUGUAGCAAAAUGUCUCUGUGCAUUUCUGUCAUUGUAACUGUUAUGGAACAGUCGGCAGCAUUGAUUUCACUGGAACAAAAUAUUUUUGGCACUGUCCUUUCCCCCCCUCAUGGAUAGUUCUCUGGUAAACACAAUCUUCUUUCAGAAUAGGGUUGGCUGCUAUAGUUCCCGUCUCAUACACAUAGCAUUAGCUUACCUGAUAGAAAACAUACAAGCUCUAUAAAACCAAACACACAAAAGUAAGGGACAACAGCUUUAACUUUGCCACUAAUUUCAGCCCUGGAAAGCAAGUUCUUCUUAGGACAGUUCUGCAACUCAAGUUGUGAGAGGGGCAUCAAUCCAAUAUACACCCACUGUCCACCGCUCUGGGUUUUAUGUUGUUGUUGUUUGUAAUUUAUUUCUAGGGCUGGUACUAAUUUUCAGUUUGUCAACCCUUGACUCAUAGAAACUCUUCCCCUGCAAAAAGGAUGCAUCUCCCUGCCGAGCACAGGAAAAAAUGUAACAUGAAAUUCAAUCCUUUCCUGAUUGGACAGGAGAUGAGGAGAGGACAAGGGAGAACAGCAUGAUGAGGAAGUUCUGUCAUUUCCAGAAGGAAGCAUGAGUCACUGUGCAGAGCAUUUUUGGGAGCCUGAAUCAGAGCUGUCGAGGAAGUCAGUUCUUGGACAGUUUUAAUGUUUGGUUUAACUGUGACUUUUCCAGUGAGCUGCUUGCCUCUGUGUGAAGACUGUAGAUAUAAAAAGCUCAGAUUACACGCCACUAAAGAACAAGAAAUAGGACAGACAAGAGAGCCCCAGAGUGAGUGAAAGCUCAAUAGAAGUAUUUACAAGGCAAGAUAAUUUGAUGUACAUUUGGAAAAAAAUAUAAAAUAAAAUUAGAAAAUGCA